This is a long non-coding RNA of Pongo pygmaeus (Bornean orangutan), 3618 nucleotides long. RefSeq lists it as uncharacterized. The record is from RefSeq and is a predicted model, not a curated record. The transcript has 3 exons. NCBI's taxonomy places the organism in Eukaryota, Metazoa, Chordata, Mammalia, Primates, Hominidae.
AGGGGCGGAGGGCGGGGGCUGGGCUUCUUCCUCGGUGCGUUCCCGGUGCUGGCCGCCGCCGCGCUCGCUCCCCGCGCUGGCUUCAGGAGCGACCCGGCCGGGGGAACUUGCCGCUUGGGAGGGGACACCCACUGGAUGGCUUCUGGCAAGAGCCGGACUCGCAGGGCCAGGACGCAGGCCGGACCCUGGCCUCAUUCUUCGGCCAGUUAUCCCGGAGUGGCGCGCAUCCUGUCUUCCAGGGCCUCGGACUCCUCGCGGGCAGAGGGGGCCCGAGGACACCUCUGUGAGGUUAGAGGACUCGGUAUGACGGUGUGGAAGGCAACGAGGAAGGUUGCGUUGUAUUGGGGAUGGGGUACCCGUCCCUCCCAGCUUGAGGGAUCCUGGGGGUCCUCGCCGCCUCUGAGGGCCUAGAUGGCUGCUUCCCUCGGCUCCCCUGCCCGGCCUGGAGCUACGGGUGCGCCCAGCUAGAGUUUAGGGCCACCUGGGGACGUGCAAGGGGCGCUGGAGCGAGGCGGGGGCUGAGGCGGGGGCUGGGGCGGGGCGUGGGUGCUUCACCCGCGGGACGCAGAGCUUAGGCGAAAGCGGUGCAGGCAUCUCUCUAAUCGCCGGCCGCUAUUAAAAAUAAAACCGCGACCCGUCGCCAUGGCGACCACAACAACAGCGGCCGCGCGAGGGAGGCGAAAACUUGUGCAGCCGCGCGACAGCCGCCUUCUGGGGAGACUCGGGGCACGGCGCACCCGGCGUGGGACUGGGACCCCCCUGCCCGGCCCCGCCACAUUCUCCGCCGGAUCCCCGGAAGAAACAGGGAGACGUGGACCCCCACAGGCUUUAUGGGGGGAUUGGGCGUUGAAACCGCAGGGCUGACUUAACCAAGAGGUCACCGACUUGGAUAAAAACCCACGCCCGCGCGGACCCCCCUCCCCGGCCUUCGUUUCCAUUCAAACUCCCAGCGUCCUCAUCGCAGCCCCUGGGGAGGGGGACGGAGGGACGAGGUGGGUUUCAGGUGCUCGGCCCAGGAGGGGACGGUGCGACCCGGGCCCCGCCGGCGGCUUUUGCGCGCGGAGGCUGCAGCACCUGCCCCGCCCGCCCUGCCGCGAUCCUUGCAGAUGGGGGCGGUCACGUGCUGCUUUCUGGCCAGAAAUCGAGUUUCACUCCCAGCCGCUAUUAGUCGGUUCGCACAGUUCACUGCAAACAUUUGAUAAUGAGGCUAAAUAUACUCCCGCGUCGGAGGAGGCGUGGGCGGCCCGGGAGACAGAGGCGCGGACCCCAGGACGGAGCCUGGCUUUGUGCGGCCGCCCCCGAAACAUUCCCACCCCAGGCUGCGGCGCGCGUCUGGGAGUCCGUGGGCGCCCCGAGGUGAGCCCGGGGCCCCGGGCGGAAGCAGCGGGGAGCUCCCGGCGGGUGCGGGGAGGUGCUGGUGGGAAGCAAGGUGCACCUGGCGGCCUGGGAUGUCCGGUCGCCCCCGGAGCCGGUGCAUCCGGCCUCUCCCGGCGCCCCCCGACGUGCCCGCGGGCCCAUAAUUACCGUGAGUCAGGUGCUCUAAAUAGGCCGAGCGAGGGGGGCCGUCGCGCAGCAGGGGCGGGUGGCCGGACGUCUGCCCCGGACUGGUUCGCUCCCGCCCCUCCACAAGACCCUGGCACCCAGGGAGGGCGGGAAAGGCCUUGGCCAUUCCUGUGGGUAGGGGACUGGAGAGGGGAAGAAACUUUCGCCGAGCCCAGCGCUGCCCCCUCAUACCCAUCCCCACCCCGGCUGCGUGUCCGGGGCCCCUCCGGGGCUUGGCACCAGCAGGCACGCAGCGAUCGCCGUCGUUGUUAUUUACUAGUAGUGGUAGUGACGGCUGACAUUUACAGCGACGUCGAUGGUGCCAGGUGCCAAGCUCUUUCCUUGUAUAACUUCAUGGACACUCACAUCAACUCUAAGCGAAGACUUGCAGCGGGGCUCAGCACCCCAGGGGCACCUCUGCAACCGCGGUAAAUAUAGACUAUCCUCCAUUCGCAGGGGCAUUUGUAGGUGGGUUGUACAGGCAGGAACAGGAAAGACGCUAUACCCAGGAGCAGGGGUGGCAGCCAACACCCCCUGGAUCCCCAGUUCCAAGGUGCGGGGAGGGGGGCACAGGCAAGUUCCCUCCGCUCUCUGCCCCUUGACCUUCGCCUUGGUGAGAUCUGUCCCUAGACUGCCCUGGGUGUCUGUUCCCUCAUCUGAAAAGCUGGAGGCCAACAGCCGUCACUGCGCACAGCUGCCUCCACUGUCAGGAAAAGCUGUGCUAGGGUGCCCUGGGCAAGGGCACUGCUGGCCACCUGCCUGCGCCUGGGUUGGGGGUGGGGGGACCAGCUGGGCACCCAAAUCCUGGCCUCUGCCCCCAGUGCCAGAGCAGAUUUCAGAACAAUUUGUAAUGAUGAAACCCCACGUUUCCCUUUAUCUCUGGGCAAGGCUUUCUUCGUUCUAGGCAAUUAAUCCAAAAGCAACACCAGCCGAGUGGGCUGAACUCCUUGAAGAUGAAAACUGCCCAGCGCAGGCGUUAAUUAAGUCAUUAUCUCAGGCCCCCAGUGACUAGGGAUCAGGCCUUUCCAGUUCACACUCCCCAGAAAGGGAGAUAACCGCCCCGACAGCAGGGUGGGAAGGCUCUCUCUCCAUGUUGUUUUAACUCCCUAUUAAAUCAUUUUCUUUUAAAUACACAAACAGAAAUGAAGUUGAAAAUAGCACACGGGCGCACAAUCAUUGUGUGAACAUUUUGUGAAUGAACACAUGUAUGAAAGGACGUUUGGCGGCUUCAAGAAACGAAAGCCGAGAGUCUAGCUAGACCAGGGCCAUCCAGCCCAGGAGCGAUGGCCACGUGUUGCCGCUGGACACGAGAGACGUGGCCGGUCCAAACUGCACAGUGCUGUAAGUGCAGAACACACACCAGCUUUCGGAGGCUUAGUAAAGAAUGCAAAAUUUCUCAAUUGGGAAUUUUUGUAUGAAUUUCAGGUUGAAAAAAACAUUUUGGAUAUAUGGAAUUAAAUAAACAUGAUUACAAUGACUUUCACUGUUAGCCUCCCGGAGGCUCGUCUUGCUCCGCUGGACCACAGCCAGCUCAGAGGGUCGCUCUAGGAAAUAUCCACACAUUCUUUAAGCACAGGUUUAUGUGCCAGGCACUGUGCUAAGUGCUGAGGACACGGCGCUAAGACCAGGCCCUCACGGAGCUCUCAGUCUCUGAGGAGAAACAGGAAGCCAGAGAUCGUAGCGGGUGCAGCAUUUCAGGGGCAGUGGAAGCCAUUGGAGGACUUCAGGCAGGAACACAAGGUGUCGUGGCAUAAAGGAAGAAGGGGCCGGGCACGGUGGCCCACACCUGUCAUCCCAGCACUUUGGGAGGGAGGCCAAGGCAGGAGGAUCGCUUCAGCCCAGGAGUUCAAGAUCAGCCUGGGCAACACAGCAAGACCCCGUCUCUACUAAAACCCUAAAACUUAGCCAGGCUUGGUGGCAUGUGCCUAAGGUCCCAGGUCCCAGGUCCUUGGGAGACUAAGGCAGGAGGAUCACUUAAGCCCAAGAGUUUGAGGCUGCAGUGAACUAUUAUCACACCACUGCACUCAGCCUGGGUGACAGAGUGACUGUCUCAAAACUAAAUAAAUAAAGGAACAA